RNAcentral lists this ribosomal RNA (357 nucleotides) under uncultured Oscillospiraceae bacterium. Its description in RNAcentral is "partial 16S ribosomal RNA". Lineage: Bacteria; Bacillati; Bacillota; Clostridia; Eubacteriales; Oscillospiraceae. The record is from RNAcentral.
GGAGUCUGGGCCGUAUCUCAGUCCCAAUGUGGCCGUUCAACCUCUCAGUCCGGCUACUGAUCGUCACCUUGGUAGGCCGUUACCCCACCAACUAGUUAAUCAGACGCAAGCUCAUCUAUUAGCGGAUUACUCCUUUCCCAAUUGUAUCAUGCGAUACUCAUGGCAUAUGCGGUAUUAGCAAUGAUUUCUCACUGUUAUUCCCCUCUAAUAGGCAGAUUGCUUACGCGUUACUCACCAGUCCGCCACUAAAGCCAUUGUUAUAAAAUCAUCAUCAUUCCGGAUAAAUCUUUCAUUCAGAAUCAAAUAUAACGACUUCCGUUCGACUUGCAUGUCUUAUGUGCGCCGCCAGCGUUUAUC